Tripterygium wilfordii is the source of this 1520-nucleotide long non-coding RNA. RefSeq lists it as uncharacterized. Lineage: Eukaryota; Viridiplantae; Streptophyta; Magnoliopsida; Celastrales; Celastraceae. The transcript has 3 exons. The record is from RefSeq and is a predicted model, not a curated record.
GAUGCAAACUUGAUUGAAAUCCCGGUGGAGAUGGAGACGCCAGAGCAUCACUAUUAUCAUGUAUGCAUCCUGUUAUAAUUUGGGCCUCCCAUGUUCUUCCCCCAAAAGGCCUUAUUGAAGGGAGGAGAGAACCCAACUUAUAUACAAGUUAUCCUUGCAUCAUUUAACCAAUGUGAGACUUUGUCCAACACCCCCUCGAACUUAUGGAUUGGGUAUCUCUGUCCAAGGCCCAACGAGUGGACUUCUUACCGAGGACGAGUGCACACCGGCCUGCUCCGAUACCAUGUUAUACUUUGGUUAUGCAAAGUAUCUUCAAAGAUUAGAGAAGUAGAAGGUCAAGAAGACGAAGAAAGUUUAGAGAACAUGGAGGAAGAAGAAGAAUCUGUAAAUCUCAUUAAUGAAAGUUAUCCUUGCAUCAUUUAACCGAUGUGGGACUUUUUCCAACACAUCCUAAGAUGCGUUUGUAUUCCCAUGCUCUUUUGUGAUUUAUGACGGUGAUUUCUAUUUACAAUCAAGUCUUACAUGCACUUUAUCUUUUGUAGCUUGCUUUAUUCACAACUAGAGAAGUAGAUGCCUUGGAAGAGCUAACUUGGGAUUAUGGUGUUGGCUUCGAUGACCAUGGCCUUCCUGGAAAGUCAUUCCAAUGCCAAUGUGGCAGCACGUUCUGUAGGAACAUAAAGCGUUCAAGCAAUAAUGAUGGUGUCAUUGUGAAUUCUAAAGGAGAAAUGAAAGGUGUUCCCAACCUUUUUACUGAAGCUAUAUUCUAAUUGUUUGGCACCAUGUACUUGUGAAUUCUUUUGUAUUAUUUUCAGUGAAUUGUAUUGCUGCAAUGGAAUUAUUACUGUCAUUUGGUCUGAGUUGUGUUGUUAUGAGCGUAUGAAGAAAUGGGUCCUUAACUUGAGCACCUAAGAAUGAUGCAUGGUCAAACACUUGUUUUUCUGCGUAUGGAUAACACAAACUUCAUCAAGAAAUUUUAUUAUUUCUUCACCUUUAUUAGUGAAAGCUAGAAUUUAUUGGAUUAUUUUCUUUCCUAAUGAUUCACUAUGAGAAUGCGUGGAGAAUGUAGUUUCUAUAAGUAGCUAUACAUGGCAGGUUUAGGUAAUAGCUGAUAGCCAAAUUCCCGUAUCAAAAAAUGAUUUGAUCUUGCUUAUUGCAUUGUGUUAUGUUAAUUCUUUCUUUGGCUCUGGCAUACACUCUUAUAUACCUUGUGACCGAAGUGUGAGCUCUCUCCAGGUUAAUUAUUCAGAGUUUGUAAACAUUUUACACAAUAUAAUGAAGUAUGUUCUUUCGGAUUACUUACUUGAGAAGUGACUCUGAUGCCUGGUUAUGGUUUCAAACUGUUUGACGCUUUCCUAACUGUAGGUUCUGCUAUUACUUAUUGGUCCCAUUGGAAAGGAGUGUGAUGUUCUUUGGCCUAGAAUUGCAUGUGCUGCCAAUGCUAUUGACGUAAGGGUCAAUUUUGAGUGCUUGUGCACUUAGUUUUGUAGGCAACCAUGGAUGGUAGCUUUGUUAGCGACAGA